This is a long non-coding RNA of Apis cerana (Asiatic honeybee), 2160 nucleotides long. RefSeq lists it as uncharacterized. The record is from RefSeq and is a predicted model, not a curated record. NCBI's taxonomy places the organism in Eukaryota, Metazoa, Arthropoda, Insecta, Hymenoptera, Apidae.
UUAGAUAAUAUAUAAAUCAAUAAUAUAAAUCAAUAAUUAUAUAAAUCAACAAAUAAACUAAACAAUAUACAUUAGCUGCUAUGUAACAUGCUAGUCAUUUAAUAUGAUUUUUAUUUUACAUCAAUUUACUUAUCGGUAGUUUAUAUCAUUUUAUCAUCAAAAUAUUUUAGAUUCUUUUAUACAUAUAACAUCAAAAACAUUAAAAGUAUGUAAAUAGCAAUAAUUAAAUGCAAUAUUAUUAUUAAAUGAAAUAAAUUUUUAAAAUUCAACAAUUUAUAAUAACAUUCGAAGAAAGACACAGGCAUGGCAGCUAACAUAUAAAACAUAACCAAACAAUCCGAAAUAGAACAGAAUAGAACAAAUUAGAAAAUAAAUACAUACGAGAAAGAAGUAUUUCGACGAUAUGUGUACAUUUUUCAAUUCUGAAAUGCUUUUUUCAGAAAAUGAAAUAUCCAUUCUAACCUCUCAAUGAUGAAGUUGGAAUCUUCUUUCCAUGUAAACGAAGAAAUUUUAUACGAAAUAAAUAGUUUUGAGGAAAUUUACACUGUUUAUUUUUGACACAGAACUUUAUAUUUAUUCAUAUUAUUUCUAUAUACUAUCAAGAGAUAAAAUAAAAAAAAAUUCAAUUUUAUUCGAUGCACAGAAAACGUUCGAGUAUAAAGAAACGAAUCUAUGACGCAUAGAGGGCGACAGUGAGAGGUUAAUAAGCAUCGCCAUUACACACACGCUUAACCUUUUUAAUUAUAUAUUUCGAUCUGUUGUAAUCCGCAUCGAUCAACAGAUAAUUUUCUCCUCUAUUCGCUUAGAGUCUAAGAUUUAUAACAAAAUAAUCGUUCAAUUGCCGGAUCAUUCGACGGACAAAUGAGUCGGUUUAUCGGCCUUUAGAAUUCAGUCCAAUCGUGAGAUACGUGCUCCCGUAGGGCAUAAAUCGCAUAAGUCUUUCUAGUCGAUAGAAACCGUACUCGCAUAUCUAUAUUCGCGUUAUUCGGUACACGUAAUCGGUUUGUACUUCGAGUACCUAUUUUCUUGGAAGAAAGCAUUUAGAAACAUUAUGCUUUCAAGAUACGAGAGUUGGCAAGAGUGAAAGUUCAUAUACGUGAAGUUACGUCAAAGCGAGAUACCGAAAAACUUGUGCAUAAAAACUCGACGCGUGUUAACAUUCAUGUGGCCAAUAGAGUAUUAUGCAAUGAGUCAUACAUUAUGUGCUGACAAGUACGAGCAAAUAUCUUUUCAACGAAAUUUCAUUUUUUGUGUGUAAUAGUUACAGUAAUAGGAAAAUUGUGUAUGAAUUAAUUGUGAUACGGAUUGGUGGAAAGAAAGACAAGAUAAGCAAAAAAGAUGGAUUAAAGAAGGAAGCAAGAGAAAGCGAUAUCCUCUUUCUUCAGGAUAAACUGACGUAACUAAUCCCACACGGCGUUUUAUUAUCCUUCAUUAUCGAAGCACAAAUUAUAAUCCACGAAUAGCGUUUGGCGUUUAUGGAGGCAGUACCUAUGAAAACUAACCUAUACUCUUUAUUCCUGGCGCAUGUCGUCGAGACCGUCGUUGGAUCGAACAAUGCGUUCGUCCCACGCCGCGCCAUGGUGCACUACCUCGUUCCACGCUGGAUCUGCUAUCUAUGGGGCAAGAGUAACACAUGUACUUAGUAGAAACGGUCCUGUGGAGAACAUUCUGUGGAAUCUAAUUUAUUGGCAAGACGAUUGUGUGAGAGAGAACAUAUCUAGACAAUUGAUGAGAAAUUAAGUUUGAAUGGAUGUUGUGGCAUUCGUGGGCGUAAUUGUAUAGAUUAUUUGAUGUGGAAGUGGAAGAAUCAUGGACUCAUAGUUUUGAAUUUUUAUAUUUAAUGAUUGGGAAUGAUUAUAGAAGAAGAACAAACAUAAGUAUUUAGAGGUUAUGUGUGUUAUUGGGUCAAUGGGAUGAUUAUGAAAAUAUUGCAAUAUAAGAUUGAUUAAAAAUUAAAGGAACCAGAUAUACUCAUUGUUAAAAAUGAUUGUAGGAUUCAUGUUUAAAUAUUAUGGCUAAUAUGUAUUGAAUUAAUGAAAAAGAUACUUUAAGUUUAUAUAAUCACAUUGUUAAAAUUUCAUAUAUUGGGACAUGAUAAAUGAAUAUAUUGUUUAUUUAUUGAAAUGCUGAACAAUAAAGUAUUUAGAUAUAUAGUGUAAG